RNAcentral lists this unclassified non-coding RNA (228 nucleotides) under Hevea brasiliensis (rubber tree). Lineage: Eukaryota; Viridiplantae; Streptophyta; Magnoliopsida; Malpighiales; Euphorbiaceae. The record is from RNAcentral.
UGUUAUAGUAACAAAACUUGGUGUUGGUGGACUGGCACCUUGGGCAAGUGAGUGGCUCAGCCAGCUGUGGCGAUGGGUUUGACCCUAAGUUGUUUUGGGUUCGAGCUAGGCGCCUGUCGCCGGAUUCUAAUGGCAUUUUGUGUGGUGUUUGAGGUUUCAAGAGAGCCAUCAUGCUUGGGAGGCGGUGGGUUUUAUUUUGUGUGGGAAGAGAAAAAAUCAGAAUAAUUU